This is a long non-coding RNA of Meriones unguiculatus (Mongolian gerbil), 1844 nucleotides long. RefSeq lists it as uncharacterized. The transcript has 6 exons. Lineage: Eukaryota; Metazoa; Chordata; Mammalia; Rodentia; Muridae. The record is from RefSeq and is a predicted model, not a curated record.
GUGUGCCCCUCCUGGGAUGCCUCCUGUGCUGGGCCCAGGACUUGCCUCACACACCCUCCCACGCACACACUUCCCCGCAGUGGGCACCCUAGCUGCGUGCCACCCGCUUGUGCCAUUCCCAGGGUGCUCCCCUCACACAGUCCCCUGCACAUAGUCUCCUGUAGUGUGCCCCUUCUCAGGGUGCCACCUGCCUGUGCCAGUCCCAGGAUAUGCUCCGCACACCCUCCCCCACACACAGUUUCCCGCACACAGUGUGCCCACUUGCAGGGUGCCACUGCCUGUGCCAGUCAAACAAGGCGCAUGUGCUGUCCAGAGCCCACACGGAGAAGGGAGAGAACAGAUUCUCAUAGUCGUUUACUGACCUAUAUACCAAAAACACAGCUUAACGAACUAAUAACAACCUGAAAUGAUUGUGAGUGUGUAAAGGCUCUUCUCACCGGCUGUGCUGGGGCCUCCACACAGCCAGGCUGGCAUCUGAGGAGGAGGAGGAGUCUCUCUGGAAGCUCUGCAGAUGGGUUGGCUCACCCGGGUAUCCCCUGUCUGCCCAGUUCUGCAGGCAUCUUGGGGUGAAGGCUCUGUAGGGAGUCUCCCUAUUUGUUUGUUUCCUUUGGGGUUGUGGGUUGGGAUGGAACCUGGAACUCCUGAAGGCCGAUUUCAAAAGCCAGGAAGGCUGUGGCUGCCCAGGCAGGCUGCUUUCAGAGGCCUUGUUGAGGACUGGUUGGCUUCAGCCAUGCUCCGGUCACUUUUGAGCUUGGAAGGAAAAAGUAGUUCUUUGUGUCUGCAUCUGCUGAGCCCUGUUCUGUCCCUACCAGCCCCAUGCUGAGGCUGUGGCCUUUUCUCCUUCCUCCCUCCUUCCCUGUCUUCCUCCUGCCGCCUUCCCCUCCCUCUCCUUCCCCCUUCCUCGCUCUCCUCUCUCCUGUAUCCCUCUCCCUCGCCUUUUCCUUACUUCUCCAUUCCUCUUCUCUCUCCCUCUACCUUCCCCUCCUUCCUCCUCCUUCUCCCUCCUCUUUCUCUCUCCCUUCCUCUCUCUCUCCAUCCCUCUCCCUCCCUCUCUCUUUCUCUCCCUCCUUUUCCCUCUCCCUCUCCUCUGCACCAGAUGGCUAUGAGCCACCGUGUGAGUCCUGGGACUCGAAUUCAAGACCUCUGGAAUAGCAGCCAGCACUCUCAACCUCUGACCCAUCCCUGCAGCCCCCUGACCUUGAACUUGUAGCCUUCUGGCCUCCACCUUCAGAUAGCCAGGUGUCCAUUUACAAGGUGGACCAGCAGGACAGUCGCAAAUUAUACACCACUGGCAUCAAUGGGGCCAUGAUGAUCUGGGAUUUCAAGGCAACCUGGAAGCCACCAUGGGUGUUAAUAUCCUGAUAGGAGCCACAGGAACCUGGAGGCCACCAUGGGUGUUGAUAUCCUCAUAGGAGCUACAGGUCAAUAGAGUGCGAUUUGUCCCUUUUGUUGGAGCAAGGAAAAUGGCUAUUUUGCUGGACCAGAACUUUUGCACAAAUUCUUGAUGAAUGCUAUUUUUGUUGACCUGGAGGCCAGCAUUGGUGGCUGAUAUCCUGAUAUCACAGGUUGAGACCUGUCCCAGGAGAAUCCAUAUUUACCCACAUGGAAGCCUAUGAGGAGUUCACCAACGAUGGAAUAUACUGGACCUUGCUAUGCCAAGGCUCCAGGAAACUCAGAAGAGACAGAACAAGGAAAAAAAAGAAAAACUACAUCUCUCCUUGUUUAAUGAUGUUUUGGUUGUGACUAAUAACCUAUGAGUAUGUCCCUCAUGCCUGCCAUAGUAUUAGAGGCUACACUUUGAUUAGGCUUUACUGUACAAAAAUAAAAUAGUUUUUUGUUCUGUU